CUCCCGGGUGAUCCCGCCGGACCCGACUGCUAUCAGAGUGGGACUAAGCCAUGCGAGUCGACGUAGCAAUGCGUGGCGAACGGCUCAGUAACACGUAGUCAACAUGCCCAGGGGACGUGGAUAACCUCGGGAAACUGAGAAUAAACCACGAUAGGUCACGAUUUCUGGAAUGGAUCAUGGCCUAAAUCUACAUGGCCCCUGGAUUGGACUGCGGCCGAUCAGGCUGUUGGUGAGGUAAUGGCCCACCAAACCUAUAACCGGUACGGGCUCUGAGAGGAGAAGCCCGGAGAUGGGCACUGAGACAAGGGCCCAGGCCCUAUGGGGCGCAGCAGGCGCGAAACCUCUGCAAUAGGCGAAAGCCUGACAGGGUUACUCUGAGUGAUUUCCGCUAAGGGGAUCUUUUGGCACCUCUAAAAAUGGUGCAGAAUAAGGGGUGGGCAAGUCUGGUGUCAGCCGCCGCGGUAAUACCAGCACCCCGAGUGGUCGGGACGAUUAUUGGGCCUAAAGCAUCCGUAGCCGGUUCUGCAAGUCUUCCGUUAAAUCCAGCCGCUCAACGGAUGGGCCGCGGAGGAUACUACAGGACUAGGAGGCGGGAGAGGCAAGCGGUACUCAGUGGGUAGGGGUAAAAUCCUUUGAUCCAUUGAAGACCACCAGUGGCGAAGGCGGCUUGCCAGAACGCGCUCGACGGUGAGGGAUGAAAGCUGGGGGAGCAAACCGGAUUAGAUACCCGGGUAGUCCCAGCUGUAAACGAUGCAGACUCGGUGAUGGGCUAGCCUUGUGCCAGCCCAGUGCCGCAGGGAAGCCGUUAAGUCUGCCGCCUGGGGAGUACGGUCGCAAGACUGAAACUUAAAGGAAUGGCGGGGGAACCC
Molecule: ribosomal RNA, 869 nt
Filed under: uncultured archaeon
Lineage: Archaea
Description: bacterial SSU rRNA
Rfam family: Archaeal small subunit ribosomal RNA
Source: RNAcentral